CUGAUUUUUUUUCUAUCUUCAGAUUUGUGGUAACUGGUUACUUUCCCGUUCUUUGUGUAUAUUUCUGGGGGUAACUGGUUACCUUCACGUUCUUUGUAUGUAUAUUUAUGGGCUCUUUAUGGUAACUGGUUACCUAUGUUACUAAAUCAUAAUUACUUCUUAUUUCUUUUUUAAUGAAGUGUUCUUCCUCUUUUUCCUUUAAAUUUGAUGUUUAUUUUCAUAUUUAAUAUGAGUAACUCGUCACCCUUCUUAUGGUAACUUGUUACCCUUCUUAUGGCAGAAAGUUACUUAUCUCAGGAUAACUGGUUACCCCUCCUGGUACAUAUUAUUUAACCUAGCUCUAUGAUUUUUUUACAUAAUUGUCAAAGAUCAAUCAAGUAACUGGUUACCUUAUCCAAAUUUUGAAAAAAGAAACGUACAAUUUAAAAAAAGGAAAAAAAUGUUUAUAAUAAAUAAAAAAUAAAUUUAAACACAAUUCGUAUUAAAAAAAAAUUGCAAAACAACCAAAAAAAAUUUAAUAUAAAAAAAUAAAUAAGCUAAAAAAAUAAUAAUCAAAUUACAAACACAAAAAUAUGGGAGAAUUUAAAAGUGAAAUCUUAAAAAAAGUCAUAAAUUAACUUUUUUUUUUUUUGUUGAAAAAAACUAUAUCUUGGCAAACUCUAUUAAAAAUCCCAUAUGCAUAUGAAAUGUAAUUUUCUCUCUCUCUCUCUCUCUCUCUCUCUUUUUUAUUUAUUUUUUAUUUAUUUUUUAUUUGGAGGGAUCUACGCAAGUUUUCCUUCUCUCCUCUCCUUUCACCCCCUUGCACUAUGUUGUAUGCCAAUUUCCUCUUGUUGCCGAUACUCUCACAUGUACGCUAAUUCAAUCUAAAAUCUUAUUCAGCUGAAGCUAUAUCAGCUAAUGAGCUUAAUGAAGAUGAAGAUGACGAAGAAGGUAGUUGAGUAACAACAGCUGAUAUGGUUAUUAGUGAGAAUACUGGUCCAAAUUAUUGGUCUGCGAGCAGGCAAAGUUGAAAGCAAUGCAUAAUCAUAUUGCUCUCAUCAUAGCAAAGCAACAAAGAGACGCUUGGAUGGUGUGAUGAUACAGAGCAAAGUGUAGUAAAACAUUACUAGGUGUUGAUAGUGUUAACAGUUAACACUUGAAAGGAUAGAUGUUGAUACUCCUUUCUAUAAUUGUAAACAAUUUUUUUUAAUUGAAAGGUGCUUUGCUUCUGUUUUGUUUGUGUGAUUGUGUUUAUCCAAUUAUAGGCAAGAGCCAAUGAUUUAUAUAUAGUUUGCUUUUUUAUUUUUAA
Molecule: long non-coding RNA, 1288 nt
Organism: Humulus lupulus (European hop)
Lineage: Eukaryota; Viridiplantae; Streptophyta; Magnoliopsida; Rosales; Cannabaceae
Exons: 2
Source: RefSeq, a predicted model, not a curated record